UCCGAAGAUUGGUGAGAA
Molecule: small nuclear RNA, 18 nt
Filed under: Arabidopsis thaliana (thale cress)
Lineage: Eukaryota; Viridiplantae; Streptophyta; Magnoliopsida; Brassicales; Brassicaceae
Description: snRNA_15277
Source: RNAcentral